Molecule: ribosomal RNA, 465 nt
Filed under: Vreelandella stevensii
Lineage: Bacteria; Pseudomonadati; Pseudomonadota; Gammaproteobacteria; Oceanospirillales; Halomonadaceae
Description: partial 16S ribosomal RNA
Rfam family: Bacterial small subunit ribosomal RNA
Source: RNAcentral
CCUACGGGGGGCUGCAGUGGGGAAUAUUGGACAAUGGGCGAAAGCCUGAUCCAGCCAUGCCGCGUGUGUGAAGAAGGCCUUCGGGUUGUAAAGCACUUUCAGUGGGGAAGAAAGCCUUGGGGCUAAUACCCUCGAGGAAGGACAUCACCCACAGAAGAAGCACCGGCUAACUCCGUGCCAGCAGCCGCGGUAAUACGGAGGGUGCGAGCGUUAAUCGGAAUUACUGGGCGUAAAGCGCGCGUAGGCGGUCUGAUAAGCCGGUUGUGAAAGCCCCGGGCUCAACCUGGGAACGGCAUCCGGAACUGUCAGGCUAGAGUGCAGGAGAGGAAGGUAGAAUUCCCGGUGUAGCGGUGAAAUGCGUAGAGAUCGGGAGGAAUACCAGUGGCGAAGGCGGCCUUCUGGACUGACACUGACGCUGAGGUGCGAAAGCGUGGGUAGCAAACUGGAUUAGAUACCCUGGUAGUC